Molecule: microRNA precursor, 59 nt
Filed under: Tribolium castaneum (red flour beetle)
Lineage: Eukaryota; Metazoa; Arthropoda; Insecta; Coleoptera; Tenebrionidae
Description: Tca-Mir-2-P2b_pre stem-loop
Source: RNAcentral
CAGUCAAUUUGGUUGUGAAACCUAGUAUUUAUUCGGGUAUCACAGCCAUUUUGACGAGU